UACGGAAGGCAGCAGUGGGGAAUAUUGCACAAUGGGCGCAAGCCUGAUGCAGCCAUGCCGCGUGUAUGAAAAAGGCCUUCGGGUUGUAAAGUACUUUCAGCCGUGAGGAAGGUGUUAAGGUUAAUAACCUUAGCAAUUGACGUUAGCGACAGAAGAAGCACCGGCUAACUCCGUGCCAGCAGCCGCGGUAAUACGGAGGGUGCGAGCGUUAAUCGGAAUUACUGGGCGUAAAGGGCACGCAGGCGGUUAAUUAAGUUGGAUGUGAAAUCCCCGGGCUUAACCUGGGAAUGGCAUUCAAGACUGGUUAGCUAGAGUCUUGUAGAGGGGGUAGAAUUCCAUGUGUAGCGGUGAAAUGCGUAGAGAUGUGGAGGAAUACCGGUGGCGAAGGCGGCCCCUGGACAAAGACUGACGCUCAUGUGCGAAAGCGUGGGGAGCAAACGAGGGAUUAGAUACC
Molecule: ribosomal RNA, 454 nt
Filed under: uncultured bacterium
Lineage: Bacteria
Description: bacterial SSU rRNA
Rfam family: Bacterial small subunit ribosomal RNA
Source: RNAcentral